AAUUUAUACAGUGAAACUGCGAAUGGCUCAUUAAAUCAGUUAUCGUUUAUUUGAUAGUUCCUUUACUACAUGGUAUAACUGUGGUAAUUCUAGAGCUAAUACAUGCUUAAAAUCUCGACCCUUUGGAAGAGAUGUAUUUAUUAGAUAAAAAAUCAAUGUCUUCGGACUCUUUGAUGAUUCAUAAUAACUUUUCGAAUCGCAUGGCCUUGUGCUGGCGAUGGUUCAUUCAAAUUUCUGCCCUAUCAACUUUCGAUGGUAGGAUAGUGGCCUACCAUGGUUUCAACGGGUAACGGGGAAUAAGGGUUCGAUUCCGGAGAGGGAGCCUGAGAAACGGCUACCACAUCCAAGGAAGGCAGCAGGCGCGCAAAUUACCCAAUCCUAAUUCAGGGAGGUAGUGACAAUAAAUAACGAUACAGGGCCCAUUCGGGUCUUGUAAUUGGAAUGAGUACAAUGUAAAUACCUUAACGAGGAACAAUUGGAGGGCAAGUCUGGUGCCAGCAGCCGCGGUAAUUCCAGCUCCAAUAGCGUAUAUUAAAGUUGUUGCAGUUAAAAAGCUCGUAGUUGAACUUUGGGCCCGGUUGGCCGGUCCGAUUUUUUCGUGUACUGGAUUUCCAACGGGGCCUUUCCUUCUGGCUAACCUUGAGUCCUUGUGGCUCUUGGCGAACCAGGACUUUUACUUUGAAAAAAUUAGAGUGUUCAAAGCAGGCGUAUUGCUCGAAUAUAUUAGCAUGGAAUAAUAGAAUAGGACGUUUGGUUCUAUUUUGUUGGUUUCUAGGACCAUCGUAAUGAUUAAUAGGGACGGUCGGGGGCAUCAGUAUUCAAUUGUCAGAGGUGAAAUUCUUGGAUUUAUUGAAGACUAACUACUGCGAAAGCAUUUGCCAAGGACGUUUUCAUUAAUCAAGAACGAAAGUUAGGGGAUCGAAGAUGAUCAGAUACCGUCGUAGUCUUAACCAUAAACUAUGCCGACUAGGGAUCGGGUGGUGUUUUUUUAAUGACCCACUCGGCACCUUACGAGAAAUCAAAGUCUUUGGGUCU
Molecule: ribosomal RNA, 1035 nt
Filed under: Saccharomyces cerevisiae (brewer's yeast)
Lineage: Eukaryota; Fungi; Ascomycota; Saccharomycetes; Saccharomycetales; Saccharomycetaceae
Description: SSU rRNA
Rfam family: Eukaryotic small subunit ribosomal RNA
Source: RNAcentral